This 470-nucleotide unclassified non-coding RNA is filed under the name Drosophila pseudoobscura pseudoobscura. RNAcentral's name for it is "GA30717". The record is from RNAcentral. Lineage: Eukaryota; Metazoa; Arthropoda; Insecta; Diptera; Drosophilidae.
AUUUCAGGUUCCUGGGAUGUUUUAGCAUCCAUACAAUAGCAUUUUUUGAAUAAGAUACACACCACUCCACUCGUUACUUUGCUCAGUAUGCUCUCUAUUUACUAUCAAUGGUUGGUUUUCAUAUCCUUAGUAUUAUAAAUUAUCAGCAUAACAUGCGCUUGUUCUCUGUACUGUGCAUUGUUUGUCUUAUCAUCGUAAAUGACCCAUUUUGUUACACCUGAAGCCAGGCCGAUUCCUCGAUCUACACGGGCCACUGGGCAAGAGCAACCGCAGCUCCCACUCGAUGUGGGAACAGAGGACGAGCCGAAGCUUGACUUCGAAAACACUAUGGAUGCAAGAGGCAGGAGAAUGCACCGUUUUCGGCCUCAGGUACCACCGCAUACGCCACGCCGCAAACUCUCUGAGGAGGACGGCGGUGUCAGCAGUGAAGAACCAAAGCUAAGAAACGAAGACCUCCGUGGAGCAAUUCA